Molecule: ribosomal RNA, 317 nt
Filed under: Tylos sp. clade B MM-2013
Lineage: Eukaryota; Metazoa; Arthropoda; Malacostraca; Isopoda; Tylidae
Description: partial 16S large subunit ribosomal RNA
Source: RNAcentral
AAGAUUUGACGAAAGAAUAUCUAUCUCAGCUUAUUAAAAAAAAAUUAACUUGAGAGUUAAAAGGCUCUCAUAUCCUAAGGGGACGACAAGACCCUAUAAAGCUUUAUUUAUAUAUUUUUAUUUACUUCAAUAAAAAAUACAAAUUUAUAAAUUUUAUUGGGGCGAUAAAUAAACAAACAUUAUUAAUUACAACGUUUUUAACGAAAUUUAUAGAACGUUUAUAAAAACUUAUAACAAGUUACUUUAGGGAUAACAGCAUAAUUUCUUUUAAAAGUUCCUAUCGACAAAGAAGAUUAUGACCUCGAUGUUGGAUUAAG